Long non-coding RNA from Anopheles aquasalis, 1550 nucleotides. RefSeq lists it as uncharacterized. Lineage: Eukaryota; Metazoa; Arthropoda; Insecta; Diptera; Culicidae. The record is from RefSeq and is a predicted model, not a curated record.
AAGCAAUAACUGGGCCGGAAAGACCCUCUUCGACUUGAUGACAAGAGGUCCCAAGUAACACAGGUCACUCAAUUUCGGGCAGUUUGUGGUCGAUAGACGUAAAAACAGGGUGAGCGCGGGGGUGAGGUACGUCCGCGAGCACUCAAUCUUUACCCCUCUGCCUGCGCGGCAACCGAGGAAGGGAUCCCGCGGACAUUUUCCCCUCCCGGGGGGUGAAAUUGUGAGCACCAUGCAACAUCCUUCGCGCUAUCCUUGUUUGGUUCAAGCUAAUUUUUCUCUGCUUUCUCACUCUCCGUGCCCCUCUCGGUUCACCCGUGGUGCUAUCCUCUUUUUGCUUCAGACGGAUUUUUUUAUUCCUUUCUCGCUCUUCGCGCCACCCCCGAGUCAUCCAUGUUGCUACCCUCCACUGGCUUUAGGCAGAUUUUUUUCCCUUCUCGCUCUUCGAAUGAUCCUGCGAGGAUCAUCCGUGUAAAGAUACGCGGUGCUCAACGCGAUUACAUCUGUAUGCGAUCGAGUUUGAGCUUUGACGAAAAGUGACCCAGGCAGCUCUCUGGGCUUUUCUCCUAAGAGAAAACGAACAGCAUGUUUUUCGGUGAAAAACACUUGAAACGCCCCUCAAAACAUUUUUAAAAUUAGUAUUAAUGAAUAAACAAAGCAUCACACUGCAUUUCAUUCAGGUUAAAACACUUUUUUGUGAAAAAAUGUGCAUUUUGGAGUGAAAUGGUGAUUUAGGGAACUUUCAAAUCAACCCUACCCAAAAGAACAGGAGAGAAAAGGACGGAGAUAGACCUCUCUCUCAGAUCCGAAAAUCAUAAGAUUGGUCGAAGAGUCUUUCCGAAAGCUGAAAAUGUGCGUCAAGUUUUUCAGUGAAAAUACCUAAAACACCGCUUAAAACAUGUUUAAAAACAUUUUUAAAAUCAAAUCAAUUUAUAACAAUGCAUUACGUUCAGGUUAUAACAAUUUUCAAAGCAAUGUUGAACAUUUUGUACUGAGAUGAGGAUCAACAGAACUUUCACGAUAACCCCAUACGAAAGAAGCGAGAGAGAAGGACGGAGAAGGAACUGUCAAACGUGUUUGUUAGGUUGGAAAGCUGGUCGGAUGCUGAUGAUCGCGCUGCUGGUAAGUUUGCCAAAAAUAUGCAUAAUUUUAACACAUUUUGUUGGUUUUCCAUUCUUUACAGAUCAUUUAUCAGAUACAGCAGCAGUGGCCGAACGAUUCGUCGUGAUCUGGUGAGUAAUUAAACUGAUAUUUGGACGAUCAAGUCCGAUGCCGUACCAUUGCCUCUUUCCAGAAUGUUCCGGUACAUGCAUCGCCAGGAGAUCGGAAAACGCUGUGAAAACGUUUUACGCCCUCCGAGAGCUGCGAGCCGUGAGUAAGCGGUAUGUGUGAAUGUGUGCCGUCCAUGCGAACGGCCCGUCUAUGGGAACGUACUUUUCGGUCCUUAUACGGCCAACGAAGGAAGGAAGCAUUGUAAGGAUGAGGUAUGUUUGGUGCUAGUGUUAUGUGAUUGAGUUUUAAAAAAGUGUGAAUAAAUAUUAUCAAAAAUGAAA